This 253-nucleotide ribosomal RNA is filed under the name uncultured bacterium. Its description in RNAcentral is "partial 16S ribosomal RNA". It matches the Rfam family "Bacterial small subunit ribosomal RNA", at positions 524 to 776 of the family's 1533-position model. The record is from RNAcentral.
UACGUAGGUGACCAGCGUUGUCCGGCUUUACUGGGCGUAAAGAGCGCGCAGGCGGUCGUUCAAGUCGAGUGUGAAAGCCCCCGGCUCAACUGGGGAGGGUCACUCGAUACUGAUCGACUUGAAGGCAGGAGAGGGAAGCGGAAUUCCCGGUGUGGUGGUGAAAUGCGUAGAUAUCGGGAGGAACACCAGUGGCGAAGGCGGCUUCCUGGCCUGUUCUUGACGCUGAGGCGCGAAAGCUAGGGGAGCAAACGGG